Molecule: ribosomal RNA, 253 nt
Filed under: uncultured bacterium
Lineage: Bacteria
Description: partial 16S ribosomal RNA
Rfam family: Bacterial small subunit ribosomal RNA
Source: RNAcentral
UACGUAGGGGGCGAGCGUUAUCCGGAUUCACUGGGUGUAAAGGGAGCGUAGACGGCCAUGCAAGCCAGGGGUGAAAGCCCGGGGCCCAACCCCGGGACUGCCCUUGGAACUGCAUGGCUGGAGUGCGGGAGGGGCAGGCGGAAUCCCUGGUGUAGCGGUGAAAUGCGUAGAUAUCAGGAGGAACACCGGCGGCGAAGGCGGCCUGCUGGACCGCGACUGACGUUGAGGCUCGAAAGCGUGGGGAGCAAACAGG